This 491-nucleotide ribosomal RNA is filed under the name uncultured bacterium. RNAcentral's name for it is "partial 16S ribosomal RNA". It matches the Rfam family "Bacterial small subunit ribosomal RNA", at positions 29 to 507 of the family's 1533-position model. The record is from RNAcentral.
AGUGAACGCUGGCGGUAGGCCUAACACAUGCAAGUCGAACGGCAGCACAGUAAGAGCUUGCUCUUACGGGUGGCGAGUGGCGGACGGGUGAGGAAUACAUCGGAAUCUACUUUUUCGUGGGGGAUAACGUAGGGAAACUUACGCUAAUACCGCAUACGACCUACGGGUGAAAGCAGGGGAUCUUCGGACCUUGCGCGAUUGAAUGAGCCGAUGUCGGAUUAGCUAGUUGGCGGGGUAAAGGCCCACCAAGGCGACGAUCCGUAGCUGGUCUGAGAGGAUGAUCGGCAACCCUGAACCGGAGAACCGUCCAAGACCCCUACGGAGGGCAGAGGUGGGAAUAUUGGACAAUGGGCGCAAGCCUGAUCCAGCCAUACCGCGUGGGUGAAGAAGGCCUUCGGGUUGUAAAGCCCUUUUGUUGGGAAAGAAAAGCAGCAGGUUAAUACCCCGCUGUUCUGACGGUACCCAAAGAAUAAGCACCGGCUAACUUCGUG